GACGAACGCUGGCGGCGUGCUUAACACAUGCAAGUCGAACGAAGAGCGAUGGUAGCCUGCUUCUAUCAAUCUUAGUGGCGAACGGGUGAGUAACGCGUAAUCAACCUGCCCUUCAGAGGGGGACAACAGUUGGAAACGACUGCUAAUACCGCAUACGAUCCAAUAACGGCAUAGGGACAGGUUGAAAGGUGGCCUCUAUUAAUAAGCUAUCACUGAAGGAGGGGACUGCGUCGGAUUAGCUAGUUGGAGGGGUUGCGGCACACCAAGGCGAUGAUCAGUAGCCGGUCCGAGAGGAUGAACGGCCGCAUUCGGACUGAGACACUGCCCAGACUCCUUCGGGCUGCGGCAGUGGCGAGUCUUCCGCGAUGGGCGGAAGUCUGACGGAGCAACGCCGCGUGAGUGAUGACGGCCUUCGGGUUGUCAAGCUCUGUUAAUCGUUACGAAUGGUUCUUGUGCUAGUAUUGCGAGGAUUUGACGGUACCGUAAUAGAAAGCCACGGCUAACUACGUG
This 510-nucleotide ribosomal RNA is filed under the name uncultured bacterium. RNAcentral's name for it is "partial 16S ribosomal RNA". It matches the Rfam family "Bacterial small subunit ribosomal RNA", at positions 28 to 507 of the family's 1533-position model. The record is from RNAcentral.